RNAcentral lists this ribosomal RNA (247 nucleotides) under uncultured bacterium. RNAcentral's name for it is "partial 16S ribosomal RNA". It matches the Rfam family "Bacterial small subunit ribosomal RNA", at positions 86 to 334 of the family's 1533-position model. The record is from RNAcentral.
AGAUGGCGACCGGCGCACGGGUGAGUAACACGUAUCCAACCUGCCGAUAACUCGGGGAUAGCCUUUCGAAGGAAAGAUUAAUACCCGAUGGUAUAAUCAGACCGCAUGGUCUUGUUAUUAAAGAAUUUCGGUUAUCGAUGGGGAUGCGUUCCAUUAGGCAGUUGGUGAGGUAACGGCUCACCAAACCUUCGAUGGAUAGGGGUUCUGAGAGGAAGGUCCCCCACAUUGGAACUGAGACACGGUCCAA